Molecule: ribosomal RNA, 818 nt
Filed under: uncultured Rhodococcus sp.
Lineage: Bacteria; Bacillati; Actinomycetota; Actinomycetes; Mycobacteriales; Nocardiaceae
Description: bacterial SSU rRNA
Rfam family: Bacterial small subunit ribosomal RNA
Source: RNAcentral
GGCGGCGUGCUUAACACAUGCAAGUCGAGCGGUAAGGCCUUUCGGGGUACACGAGCGGCGAACGGGUGAGUAACACGUGGGUGAUCUGCCCUGCACUCUGGGAUAAGCCUGGGAAACUGGGUCUAAUACCGGAUAUGACUACAGCAUGCAUGUGUUGUGGUGGAAAGAUUUAUCGGUGCAGGAUGGGCCCGCGGCCUAUCAGCUUGUUGGUGGGGUAAUGGCCUACCAAGGCGACGACGGGUAGCCGACCUGAGAGGGUGACCGGCCACACUGGGACUGAGACACGGCCCAGACUCCUACGGGAGGCAGCAGUGGGGAAUAUUGCACAAUGGGCGGAAGCCUGAUGCAGCGACGCCGCGUGAGGGAUGAAGGCCUUCGGGUUGUAAACCUCUUUCAGCAGGGACGAAGCGUGAGUGACGGUACCUGCAGAAGAAGCACCGGCUAACUACGUGCCAGCAGCCGCGGUAAUACGUAGGGUGCGAGCGUUGUCCGGAAUUACUGGGCGUAAAGAGUUCGUAGGCGGUUUGUCGCGUCGUUUGUGAAAACCCGGGGCUCAACUUCGGGCUUGCAGGCGAUACGGGCAGACUUGAGUGUUUCAGGGGAGACUGGAAUUCCUGGUGUAGCGGUGAAAUGCGCAGAUAUCAGGAGGAACACCGGUGGCGAAGGCGGGUCUCUGGGAAACAACUGACGCUGAGGAACGAAAGCGUGGGUAGCAAACAGGAUUAGAUACCCUGGUAGUCCACGCCGUAAACGGUGGGCGCUAGGUGUGGGUUCCUUCCACGGGAUCUGUGCCGUAGCUAACGCAUUAAGCGCCCCGC